RNAcentral lists this ribosomal RNA (253 nucleotides) under uncultured bacterium. Its description in RNAcentral is "partial 16S ribosomal RNA". It matches the Rfam family "Bacterial small subunit ribosomal RNA", at positions 524 to 776 of the family's 1533-position model. The record is from RNAcentral.
UACGGGGGGAGCAAACGUUGUUCGGAAUUACUGGGCGUAAAGGGCGCGUAGGCGGUCCUGUAAGUGGUGUGUGAAAUCCGAUGGCUCAACCAUCGAGCUGCGCUCCAAACUGCAGGACUUGAGUACAGCAGAGGAAAGUGGAAUUCCCGGUGUAGCGGUGAAAUGCGUAGAUAUCAGGAGGAACACCGGUGGCGAAGGCGGGUCUCUGGGCAGUAACUGACGCUGAGGAGCGAAAGCGUGGGGAGCGAACAGG